This 736-nucleotide long non-coding RNA is filed under the name Vulpes vulpes (red fox). Its description in RNAcentral is "lncRNA (ENSVVUG00000003081.1)". Lineage: Eukaryota; Metazoa; Chordata; Mammalia; Carnivora; Canidae. The record is from RNAcentral.
CCACCCUGGGAAACUUCCUUGUACUUCCACUCAGCAGGGGCCAUUCUCUGUCUCCAGAGGCCAGGGUUCCACAAACCUUCUGUUUUCACAUUCUCUCUACCACCUCCUUUAUUCUAGCCUGGGUGUUUAAAAGCAAUCAUUGUCAGAAUAUGCCAUUUAAUCUGUUUUCAUUUUUUAUUGUAAAAAGAGGAUGCAAGGGCUAGCAGUAAGAUUGUAGAUGAAUAAUGAAAGAAUUCCUCACAGCUGUUCAGGGAUAUAUAUUUUUCCUGCAAUGGAGCGAGACGGAUUCCCAUCGCAGCUCGGAGACUUGUUCCAUGAAGCCCCUCAUCUGUCAUGUUCUGAGGGGAAGGGCCUGCCUUGAAGCUGGAAUAAGUCCCUCCAAGGUAGCUACCCAAGAAAAAUACCCUUGAUCUGUUCCAAACUAGAAAGACAGGAAAUCAAAACAAAGCUGACCCCGAUUUCAGUGCCUACCCCACCACGGCUCAGUACAUCAGGGAAGGGGCUGCUGGACGGUUGGCUGUCACUCCACCUCUCCCUUCUGGUUUUCUGUUUGCUUGAGGAGAGAAACUAUGCACCCCCACCUCACCCUUUAGAUGUAUUUUCGUAUUGCCAGCCUCAUUCCUAAAAGGAUUUGAAAUGUCUGACAAAAAUAUGAAUGGUACAGCAAGGUAGAUACUAAGGAGGAACACCAGGCCGAGGAAAUAAAAGCAGGAAAAAUAAGAUAGCCUCGUGAGGC